Molecule: long non-coding RNA, 1051 nt
Filed under: Heterocephalus glaber (naked mole-rat)
Lineage: Eukaryota; Metazoa; Chordata; Mammalia; Rodentia; Bathyergidae
Description: lncRNA (ENSHGLG00000032499.1)
Source: RNAcentral
GGCCUGCGGGGCGCGCGGGGGCGGAGUUCGGUGCCCGCCCACCUGCCCGGGCGACAAUGCGGUGACCCGGGGGCGGCCCUCGCCGCGCGCCGGAGACGUGCGCCCUGGGGCCAAGUAGCAGCAGAGGGAAGAGGCCAGGGUGUGACCGCACAAGGAAGUGCCAGCUGGAAGGGUAGACACUGCAGGAGGAAGCCACCCUCUCCCCAAAGGGCCAGUGCGGCUUACCAUACACAUGGGAACUAUGAAGCCCAAAGAGCAGCCUGAACCCCAGCCUGCUGUUCCUCACCCCAUGACCUGGGGCAAGUCAUGGAGGCUCUCUAAGAAGAUGCUGGCCUUGGUGGUGCAUGCCUGUAUUCCCAGCAUUCAGGAGGCUGAGGCAGGAGGAUCCCUGAGAGUUUGAGGCCAGCCAGGGCUUAGCAGAAGCCUGUCUCAAAUAAGACAAAACAAAAACAAAAGAAAGAAUCAGAAGGGCCUUCCAUUUGGGACUGAAGAAGACAUUCAAAAUCCUCAGGCAAGACUGGGUGUGUGGCAGUGCUUAAGAGGCUGAGGUGGAAGGAUGUCAAGUUCAAGACCAGCCCACCUAGUGACAGCCUGUCUCAAAAAGGAAAAUAAAAGACAUCCUCAGGUGAGUGAAGCCUAGAGCAGGUGCUCAGGCAGGAGGCUCUGGUGGUCUUUAGCAACGCAGACAAAUGCAGUUCCUGUGACCUGGGGUGCAGGUGGCAUAUUAGCAGCCAUGUUUAUAUAUAUAUAUAUAUAUAUAUAUAUUUUUUUUUUUUUUUUUUGGUUCCAGGGAUUGAACUUGGGACCUUGUGCUUUCGAGGCAGGAGGAGGAACCACUGAGUGAAAUCCCCAGCCCCACAUUUAUAUUUCUUAAAAAUGACCCUGUAAACCAGUCUUCCCCAGAAUCUAAAGCUUUUGAAAAAUGCCCUUGGCCUUGGGAGCUCCUCCUAGGUCUCUGCAGGCCGUGUAACUGGGGAUCCAGGCCAGAGCCUCGCUGGGAGCCCCUGCAGCGCCAGGUGCGGCCGGCCCUGGGAGCUAGGCCGAAUUCCUG